AUGCCCGAACGCCAGUGACCCAACCCUCCAUCAGUGGACACAAGCGUGACAGCUGCGAGAGAAGCGAGCAGCUGUAUCUUAAAAGAAUACGUCGCGGAGGCGAUAGGAAUCGCGGAGGCGAUAGGAAGAGGAGCUUGUGUUUAGUGAUGAGGGAGGGAGCUGUCGAAGGUGGAGCCGAUGACUGGGGUGAAGUCGUAACAAGGUAGC
RNAcentral lists this ribosomal RNA (207 nucleotides) under uncultured bacterium. RNAcentral's name for it is "partial 16S ribosomal RNA". The record is from RNAcentral.